RNAcentral lists this ribosomal RNA (301 nucleotides) under uncultured bacterium. RNAcentral describes it as "partial 16S ribosomal RNA". It matches the Rfam family "Bacterial small subunit ribosomal RNA", at positions 509 to 807 of the family's 1533-position model. The record is from RNAcentral.
CAGCCGCCGCGGGAAUACGAAGGGUGCAAGCGUUACUCGGAAUUACUGGGCGUAAAGCGUGCGUAGGUGGUGGUUUAAGUCCGUUGUGAAAGCCCUGGGCUCAACCUGGGAAUUGCAGUGGAUACUGGGUCACUAGAGUUUGGUAGAGGAUAGUGGAAUUUCCGGUGUAGCAGUGAAAUGCGUAGAGAUCGGAAGGAACAUCUGUGGCGAAGGCGACUAUCUGGGCCAACACUGACACUGAGGCACGAAAGCGUGGGGAGCAAACAGGAUUAGAUACCCCCGUAGUCCCUGUCUCUUAUAC